UACAGUUCACAGUUUCGGGGUGAUGAUGGAAGUGUUACUGCAUUUGGUUUUGCUUUUGAUCAUUUCAUCUGUUAGUGGUCAGUCUUUAACCUCCUCAGAUUCUGUGGUGAAAAAGCCUGGAGAAUCAGUGACUCUGUCCUGCACUGUUUCUGGAUUCUCAAUGAGCAGCUACUGGAUGCACUGGAUCCGUCAGAAACCAGGGAAAGCUCUGGAGUGGAUUGGAUUUAUAGACACUGGCUCAACUGUGUAUUAUGCUCAGUCUCUACAGGGACAGUUCUCCAUCACCAAAGACACCAGCAAAAACAUGCUGCAUUUAGAGGUGAAAAGCCUGAAGACUGAAGACACAGCUGUUUAUUACUGUGCUAGAGACUCACAGUUACUCAAAAGACUGCAGGACCUGACAAAAACUAUUCAUGCAUCACAUCACAAUAGCAAUUCUACAUUUACAUUCAGCAGAUGCUUUUAUUCAAAACAACUUAGUCAUUCAGAACUAAUUCAUAAUUAUGAUAAAAUUAUAAAAAUGUACCAGUUUAUCAAUAACCACAUUAUUAACAUGUGA
Molecule: non-coding RNA, 559 nt
Organism: Carassius auratus (goldfish)
Lineage: Eukaryota; Metazoa; Chordata; Actinopteri; Cypriniformes; Cyprinidae
Source: the annotation of a RefSeq genome assembly